Teleopsis dalmanni is the source of this 236-nucleotide long non-coding RNA. RefSeq lists it as uncharacterized. The transcript is spliced from 3 exons. The record is from RefSeq and is a predicted model, not a curated record. NCBI's taxonomy places the organism in Eukaryota, Metazoa, Arthropoda, Insecta, Diptera, Diopsidae.
UUUAUAACAGUCUCAAGCAUAUCAACAUCUUCAUUAUUAGGCGUAGUGGUGACACUCUUUCCAACAUCUUUAAGAGCUUUAAUCGUUGCAUCUGCUAUGAUGUUUGGUCGUCUUGGUGCUCUUUCCGGAAAUAUGUUGUUCCCAGUUUUUAUUGAAAUCGGUUGCAUACCACCAUUUUUAAUGGUGGGCUUUGUCAUGUUUUGUGCUGCGGCUCUAUCCUGCAUUUUACCAAGUCC